UACGUAGGGUGCGAGCGUUAAUCGGAAUUACUGGGCGUAAAGCGUGCGCAGGCGGUUUUGUAAGCCAGAUGUGAAAUCCCCGGGCUUAACCUGGGAAUGGCAUGUGGGACUGCAAGGCUGGAGUGUGGCAGAGGAGACUGGAAUUCCUGGUGUAGCAGUGAAAUGCGUAGAUAUCAGGAGGAAUACCGAUGGCGAAGGCAGGUCUCUGGGCUGACACUGACGCUCAUGCACGAAAGCGUGGGGAGCAAACAGG
This 253-nucleotide ribosomal RNA is filed under the name uncultured bacterium. RNAcentral's name for it is "partial 16S ribosomal RNA". It matches the Rfam family "Bacterial small subunit ribosomal RNA", at positions 524 to 776 of the family's 1533-position model. The record is from RNAcentral.